Molecule: long non-coding RNA, 266 nt
Organism: Mytilus trossulus (common blue mussel)
Lineage: Eukaryota; Metazoa; Mollusca; Bivalvia; Mytilida; Mytilidae
Exons: 3
Source: RefSeq, a predicted model, not a curated record
GACUGGUGGCAGAAGGGGUAUGAAUAUAAAGUGGCAUUAAGGCCUUGAAGACAGACUAUAACAUGCUGAAGUUGCAAUAACAGUUUGACGAAGACCCACAUGUAAUCUUAUAUUGACGGUUGUAGAAAUCAUACCAACAGAUUUCACUUUGGGAUAUAAUGGCAAGUUGGGAUGAGAAACUUCUUACAGCUGCAAAGGAGGGGAAUAUAAAAGAGGUAGAAUUAUGUGUAAAGAACAGAGCUAACUUGGAAUGUAGAGAUCGUAUA